GACGUAGGGCGCGAGCGUUGUCCGGAUUUAUUGGGCGUAAAGAGCUCGUAGGCGGCUUGUCGCGUCGAAUGUGAAAUCUCAGGGCUCAACUCUGACAUUGCAUUCGAUACGGGCAGGCUAGAGUUCGGUAGGGGAGAGUGGAAUUCCUGGUGUAGCGGUGAAAUGCGCAGAUAUCAGGAAGAACACCCGUGGCUAAGGCGGCUCUCUAGUACGGUACUGACGCUGAGACGCGAAAGCGUGGGGAGCGAACAGG
This 253-nucleotide ribosomal RNA is filed under the name uncultured bacterium. Its description in RNAcentral is "partial 16S ribosomal RNA". It matches the Rfam family "Bacterial small subunit ribosomal RNA", at positions 524 to 776 of the family's 1533-position model. The record is from RNAcentral.